UGUGAAGGAUGAAGGCCGUCGGNGUAAGUAAACUUCUUUUAUUACGGGAAGAAACCUCAAGAUGCGUCUUGCGGCUGACAGUACUUAAUGAAUAAGGAUCGGCUAACUUCGUGCCAGCAGCCGCGGUAAGACGAAGGAUCCAAGCGUCGUCCGGAUUUACCUGGGUUUAAACGGGUGCGUAGGCGGAAAAUCUAAGUCAGCGGUGAAAGCCCGCAGCUCAACUGUGGAACUGCCAUUGAAACUGGUCCUCUUGACAUAUAGCUGAGGCAGAUGGAACUAUACAUGUAGCGGUGAAAUGCUUACAUAUGUUAUAGAACACCGAUUGCGAAGGCAGUCUGCCAAACUAUCAUUGACGACUGAGGCACGAACAGC
RNAcentral lists this ribosomal RNA (372 nucleotides) under uncultured bacterium. Its description in RNAcentral is "bacterial SSU rRNA". It matches the Rfam family "Bacterial small subunit ribosomal RNA", at positions 400 to 760 of the family's 1533-position model. The record is from RNAcentral.